GAGCGCCCCGCAAGGGGAGCGGCAGACGGGAGAGUAACACGUGGGAACGUACCCUUCGGUUCGGAACAACCCAGGGAAACUUGGGCUAAUACCGGAUACGUCCGUAAGGAGAAAGAUUCAUCGCCGAGGGAUCGGCCCGCGUCUGAUUAGCUAGUUGGUGAGGUAAUGGCUCACCAAGGCGACGAUCAGUAGCUGGUCUGAGAGGAUGAUCAGCCUCACUGGGACUGAGACACGGCCCAGACUCCUACGGGAGGCAGCAGUGGGGAAUAUUGGACAAUGGGCGCAAGCCUGAUCCAGCCAUGCCGCGUGGGUGAUGAAGGCCUUCGGGUUGUAAAGCUCUUUCGCCCGCGACGAUGAUGACGGUAGCGGGAGAAGAAGCCCCGGCUAACUUCGUG
This 395-nucleotide ribosomal RNA is filed under the name uncultured bacterium. RNAcentral's name for it is "bacterial SSU rRNA". It matches the Rfam family "Bacterial small subunit ribosomal RNA", at positions 64 to 507 of the family's 1533-position model. The record is from RNAcentral.